UGAGGAAUAUUGGACAAUGGGCGAAAGCCUGAUCCAGCUAUAUCGCGUGGGUGAUGAAGACUGUAUUGGUUGUAAAACCCUUUACUUAAACAGAGAUUAUGACAAAGUUUGAGAAAAAAGUCCCGGCCAAUCUCGUGCCAGCAGCCGCGGUAAUACGAGAGGGGCAAGCGUUAUUCGGAAUGAUUGGGCGUAAAGCGCACGUAGGCUGUUUAGAAAAUCAUAAAUAACAAAAUCAAAGCUUAACUUUGAAAUUUAUUUAAUUGACUUCUAAACUGGAGUGAAUGAAAGGAGAAUGGAAUUCCUGGCGUAGAGGUAAAAUUUGUUGAUAUCAGGAGGAACACCAAAAGCGAAAGCAAUUCUCUAGUAUUCUACUGACGUUGAGGUGCGACAGCGUGGGGAUCAAAAG
This 406-nucleotide ribosomal RNA is filed under the name uncultured bacterium. RNAcentral's name for it is "partial 16S ribosomal RNA". It matches the Rfam family "Bacterial small subunit ribosomal RNA", at positions 355 to 774 of the family's 1533-position model. The record is from RNAcentral.